AUGUCCCGACCCCACAGGCACAUCACACUCCACCCCACCCCGUACACCUGUGACGGGCGGGAGGCACUUCCUCUCCUCCCCCACCCAUCCAAACCGCACCCCCCACACACACACACACCCCGCCGGGCCAGGCCAGGCCAGGCCAGCAAGGUUGCCACGUCUGGGGGCACAGGAACACGCCCUACCACAGGGUGGAGAGAAAGCUCAACGGGAGCCCCUGCGCCUCCUCUAAGCCAGUUCUGCAGUGGACAGGCCCUUGCCUGGGCCCCAGGCUUCUGGCCACCCCGACACCAGGUUCCCCAAAUCUGGCAACUAGGGCUCUCCUGGGCCUGAGCAGCCAGCUCUGCCUGUGGGGGAGCUCAGGGGAGAGGCUGGGCUCCAGGGAGUCAAGUGCAGGGCUGAGUCUCAAGGCCACAGGGUCCAUGAGACAGCACUGGACCCCACGCCGGGUUGGGGCGAGUCCCAGAACCUUAGGUCACGUGUGCGAGUCAGACUCAGUGCCCGGCUCGGGACCCCAGAGCUGAGCAGGUGAUGUUGGGCUGGGCCUUUGCUGUGCAAUCUACAGCCUGGUGGGGUCUCAGGAUGUGGCUGACUUGGAAGCAGUGAACUGGUGUCUCAAAGUCAGACCCGGGCCCCAGGGGGCUGGCCGGGCACCCCCGAGACGCUUGCCCAGCUAGGUAGGAAAGGAGGGGCCGGGAGCCGGGGGUGGGUUUGGACUGCCAGACUGAAGCAUGAGCCCCACACACCUCCCUCUCAUUGCAGCCGUUACCUCAAAACAGCGAA
Molecule: long non-coding RNA, 783 nt
Filed under: Oryctolagus cuniculus (rabbit)
Lineage: Eukaryota; Metazoa; Chordata; Mammalia; Lagomorpha; Leporidae
Description: lncRNA (ENSOCUG00000032064.1)
Source: RNAcentral